Molecule: ribosomal RNA, 467 nt
Filed under: uncultured bacterium
Lineage: Bacteria
Description: partial 16S ribosomal RNA
Rfam family: Bacterial small subunit ribosomal RNA
Source: RNAcentral
GACGAACGCUGGCGGCGUGCUUAACACAUGCAAGUCGAACGGAAAGGCCCUGCUUUUGUGGGGUGCUCGAGUGGCGAACGGGUGAGUAACACGUGAGUAACCUGCCCUUGACUUUGGGAUAACUUCAGGAAACUGGGGCUAAUACCGGAUAGGAGCUCCUGCUGCAUGGUGGGGGUUGGAAAGUUUCGGCGGUUGGGGAUGGACUCGCGGCUUAUCAGCUUGUUGGUGGGGUAGUGGCUUACCAAGGCUUUGACGGGUAGCCGGCCUGAGAGGGUGACCGGCCACAUGGGGACUGAGUUCCGGCCCAGCCUCUUACGGGAGGAAGCGGUGGGGAUUAUUGCACAAUGGGCGGAAGCCUGAGGCAGAACCGCCGCGUGCGGGAUGACGGCCUUCGGGUUGUAACCCGCUUUCGCCUGUGACGAAGCGUGAGUGACGGUAAUGGGUAAAGAAGCACCGGCUAACUACGU